CCUGAUCCAGCAAUGCCGCGUGUGCGAAGAAGGCCUUCGGGUUGUAAAGCACUUUUGUCAGGGAAGAAAUCCUUUGGGCUAAUACCCUAGGGGGAUGACGGUACCUGAAGAAUAAGCACCGGCUAACUACGUGCCAGCAGCCGCGGUAAUACGUAGGGUGCAAGCGUUAAUCGGAAUUACUGGGCGUAAAGCGUGCGCAGGCGGUUGUGUAAGACAGGUGUGAAAUCCCCGGGCUUAACCUGGGAAUUGCAUUUGUGACUGCACGACUAGAGUGUGUCAGAGGGGGGUGGAAUUCCACGUGUAGCAGUGAAAUGCGUAGAUAUGUGGAGGAACACCAAUGGCGAAGGCAGCCCCCUGGGAUAACACUGACGCUCAUGCACGAAAGCGUGGGGAGCAAACAGGAUUAGAUACCCUGGUAGUCCACGCCCUAAACGAUGUCAACUAGUUGUUGGGGAUUUACUUCCUUGGUAACGUAGCUAACGCGUGAAGUUGACCGCCUGGGGAGUACGGCCGCAAGGUUAAAACUCAAAG
RNAcentral lists this ribosomal RNA (531 nucleotides) under Limnobacter sp. MV3. RNAcentral's name for it is "bacterial SSU rRNA". It matches the Rfam family "Bacterial small subunit ribosomal RNA", at positions 382 to 906 of the family's 1533-position model. Lineage: Bacteria; Pseudomonadati; Pseudomonadota; Betaproteobacteria; Burkholderiales; Burkholderiaceae. The record is from RNAcentral.